GGCCGAUGACGUUACCGCAGAAAGGAAGCACGGCUACUCCGUGCAGGCAGCCGCCGGUAUACGAGGGGUGCAGCGUAUUCGGAUACUGGGCGGUAAGCGGCACGCAGGCGGUCUGGUAGUCAGAUGUGGAAAUCCCCGGGCUACCUGGGAACUGCAUUUGGAACUGGCAGGCUGAGUCUCGUAGAGGGGGGGUAGGAUUCCAGGUGUAGCGGUGAAAUGCGUAGAGAUCUGAGGAAUACCGGUGGCGAAGGCGGCCCCUGGACGAAGACUGACGCUCAGGUGCGAAAGCGUGGGAGCAAACAGGAUUAGAUACCCUGGUAGUCACGCCGUAAACGAUGUCGACUUGGAGGGCUGUUCCCCUGAGGAGUGGCUUCCGGAGCUAACGCGUUAAGUCGACCGCCUGGGGAGUACGGCCGCAAGGUUAAAACUCAAAUGAAUUGACGGGGGCCCGCACAAGCGGUGGAGCAUGUGGUUUAAUUCGAUGCAACGCGAAGAACCUUACCUGGCCUUGACAUCCAGAGAACGUAGCAGAGAUGCUUCGGUGCCUUCGGGAACUCUGAGACAGGUGCUGCAUGGCUGUCGUCAGCUCGUGUUGUGAAAUGUUGGGUUAAGUCCCGCAACGAGCGCAACCCUUAUCCUUUGUUGCCAGCGGGUAAUGCCGGGAACUCAAAGGAGACUGCCGGUGAUAAACCGGAGGAAGGUGGGGAUGACGUCAAGUCAUCAUGGCCCUUACGGCCAGGGCUACACACGUGCUACAAUGGCGCAUACAAAGAGAAGCGACCUCGCGAGAGCAAGCGGACCUCAUAAAGUGCGUCGUAGUCCGGAUCGGAGUCUGCAACUCGACUCCGUGAAGUCGGAAUCGCUAGUAAUCGUAGAUCAGAAUGCUACGGUGAAUACGUUCCCGGGCCUUGUACACACCGCCCGUCACACCAUGGGAGUGGGUUGCAAAAGAAGUAGGUAGCUUAACUCCGCGAGGCGCUAGCACAGCGUACUUACAUAACUCACA
Molecule: ribosomal RNA, 1006 nt
Filed under: Erwinia tasmaniensis
Lineage: Bacteria; Pseudomonadati; Pseudomonadota; Gammaproteobacteria; Enterobacterales; Erwiniaceae
Description: bacterial SSU rRNA
Rfam family: Bacterial small subunit ribosomal RNA
Source: RNAcentral